Molecule: long non-coding RNA, 7792 nt
Filed under: Sus scrofa (pig)
Lineage: Eukaryota; Metazoa; Chordata; Mammalia; Artiodactyla; Suidae
Description: lncRNA (ENSSSCG00000037770.3)
Source: RNAcentral
GCCAGUCUUCGGAAAACAAAUGGUAACAUUUCUGAUAUCCCAUCACCCCAGUGCUCUUGAGCCCCUCUGAAGCGACUGGUUCAGCCUUUCCUCUUGUCUGCCGUUUCAUCUGUUUCGCUUGUGUCGGCAUGCCUUUCUCUUGCACGUCCUGUCUACGAGCUCCACCUCAAUGUUUUGCGUGGGACUUGUCCCACGUUCCUUCUGUCCAUUUCUGUUUGCCUACCUCCUCUGCUCUGCCAUUCCUGCUCUUUGCAAUGCAUGCCAUGCCCUCCCGCUAAGGACUGGCUUUGCUUCGGUCUUUCAGGCACUUGCCACAGUUUCAUGAAGUUGGUGAGAUGCAAAGCAUUACGCAGAUAGGGAGAUGGUUUCUCUUCCACGUGUGUUUCUCAACAACAUCCAAACACAGGGGCUCUGUCGGGACUUCCAAGUCAGAGGGGCCAUUCCUGCACAAGGGAUAGCUCUUCAAAGACUUAAGAGAUGGGAGAUGGCCCCAAAACGGCUCAGUUAAUGCCCUCUGCCCACUGCCCUUUCAAAGCCUAAGUAGUAUAUGCUAUCAUCCAUCGGUCAAGAGUGUGCCAGGGCGCCCCUCUUCCACUGGCCUUACCCCUGGGAACCAAGUAUUCCCAGGUAUGAACAUGUUACUUCAGUUUGCCUGCUGUUCUAAACAAAAGCCAGGCCUACCGGUUGUGUCAUUUUGUGUGUCUCAGAGUUCUGAAAUGUCAGUUCUCCCUGACAUAGGCUGUUGAAAAUUUAGAGCAAUCUUCAGUUGCACGUGUAACACAUCUUUUCGGUUCCUUUUGGGUUACUCGCUUUUAGAAUGAUUAGCUUUCCUCCCCCGAAGUUAGGUGAGAUGGCAUUAUUAGCCUUUUUUGUUUUGUAAGGGCCACACCCACCGGCACAGGGACAUUCCCAGGCUAGGGGCUGAAUGGGAGCUGUAGCCGCCGGCCUACACCACAGAAGCAGCAAGGCCGGUACCAGCCACCCCUGCGAACCACACACCACAGCCCAUGGCCACGCCAGAGCCUUAACCUCCUGAGCGAGGGCCGGGAUGGAACCUGUGUCCUCCUGGAUACUCGUCCGAUUCACUUCCACUGAGCCAUGACGGGAACUCCCAGGAAAGCCUCGAGUCACAUCAAAGAAAAGAGAGAGAACAAGAGCAUGGCUUUCUGGCACCUUGCUCAUUCAAUCAUGCCAUUCGUUUCCCUCCACCAACGCAUUUUUGAAAACUGCAUUUCCCCGAAAUGCACGAGUCAGUCUCAACAUCGAUUUGAUUCCAUUUCUCUGCGCUUCGAGUAGAAAAAUGAUCUGUCGCUGAGAACGUCCUUACGACCAUGUCAGCUGACAAGAAUGGAAAGCGUAGGAUUAGAGCCUUGUCGCCCAGGUCUUUGCCUUUCUGCAGGAGACGACACCUUCAGAGGUAACUUUGAAAGCCCUCUUGACAACUACAUUAAGUGUAGCAUCGCUGUGUGACAUGCAAAGCAUUAGACACCAUCACACUUGCAAAAGCCAGUACCCAGACAUACGUCAUCCACUUGCUCAGGCACUGUGGCAUCUUCGGAAAAGGCUUUUUCGGGAGUGACACGUGUGUUUCACACGAACUACGAAAGCAGUGCUUUCACUGGAAGACAACUUGUUUAAUCUGGCAUCAUCCGAAGCAUUUGCCAAACUGAGAGAUUUAACUUUGAUCCAUGACCAAGAUAGCAAUUGUUGUCAUUUUUUUUUUUUUCUCUUUAAGGUGGCACCCACAGCAUUUGGAAGUUCAGGUCCAGUGACUGAAUCUGAGCCGCAGCUAUAACCGACACCACUGCUGGGGCAACGCCACAUCCUUGAACUCAUUGUGUCCAGCCAGAGCUCAAACCCGCACCUCCACUGCAACACGAGCCACUGAAGUGAGGUUCCUAACCCACCGUACCACAGUGGGAACUCCUGAAAUAACAUGACUUCAUUUUAUUAGAUAUGUCUUCUGAGUCAGAAACUCCAUGCCUGGCAUUUGUCCUCUUCUUUUUACUAUCUGUUGUGGUUUCCUUAACAUUUACAUGACUCUCUGUAAAUUCACUUUUCAGGAGAACUUCAGGAUGAAAACGCCAGUCUUCGGAAAACAAAUGGUAACAUUUCUGAUAUCCCAUCACCCCAGUGCUCUUGAGCCCCUCUGAAGCGACUGGUUCAGCCUUUCCUCUUGUCUGCCGUUUCAUCUGUUUCGCUUGUGUCGGCAUGCCUUUCUCUUGCACGUCCUGUCUACGAGCUCCACCUCAAUGUUUUGCGUGGGACUUGUCCCACGUUCCUUCUGUCCAUUUCUGUUUGCCUACCUCCUCUGCUCUGCCAUUCCUGCUCUUUGCAAUGCAUGCCAUGCCCUCCCGCUAAGGACUGGCUUUGCUUCGGUCUUUCAGGCACUUGCCACAGUUUCAUGAAGUUGGUGAGAUGCAAAGCAUUACGCAGAUAGGGAGAUGGUUUCUCUUCCACGUGUGUUUCUCAACAACAUCCAAACACAGGGGCUCUGUCGGGACUUCCAAGUCAGAGGGGCCAUUCCUGCACAAGGGAUAGCUCUUCAAAGACUUAAGAGAUGGGAGAUGGCCCCAAAACGGCUCAGUUAAUGCCCUCUGCCCACUGCCCUUUCAAAGCCUAAGUAGUAUAUGCUAUCAUCCAUCGGUCAAGAGUGUGCCAGGGCGCCCCUCUUCCACUGGCCUUACCCCUGGGAACCAAGUAUUCCCAGGUAUGAACAUGUUACUUCAGUUUGCCUGCUGUUCUAAACAAAAGCCAGGCCUACCGGUUGUGUCAUUUUGUGUGUCUCAGAGUUCUGAAAUGUCAGUUCUCCCUGACAUAGGCUGUUGAAAAUUUAGAGCAAUCUUCAGUUGCACGUGUAACACAUCUUUUCGGUUCCUUUUGGGUUACUCGCUUUUAGAAUGAUUAGCUUUCCUCCCCCGAAGUUAGGUGAGAUGGCAUUAUUAGCCUUUUUUGUUUUGUAAGGGCCACACCCACCGGCACAGGGACAUUCCCAGGCUAGGGGCUGAAUGGGAGCUGUAGCCGCCGGCCUACACCACAGAAGCAGCAAGGCCGGUACCAGCCACCCCUGCGAACCACACACCACAGCCCAUGGCCACGCCAGAGCCUUAACCUCCUGAGCGAGGGCCGGGAUGGAACCUGUGUCCUCCUGGAUACUCGUCCGAUUCACUUCCACUGAGCCAUGACGGGAACUCCCAGGAAAGCCUCGAGUCACAUCAAAGAAAAGAGAGAGAACAAGAGCAUGGCUUUCUGGCACCUUGCUCAUUCAAUCAUGCCAUUCGUUUCCCUCCACCAACGCAUUUUUGAAAACUGCAUUUCCCCGAAAUGCACGAGUCAGUCUCAACAUCGAUUUGAUUCCAUUUCUCUGCGCUUCGAGUAGAAAAAUGAUCUGUCGCUGAGAACGUCCUUACGACCAUGUCAGCUGACAAGAAUGGAAAGCGUAGGAUUAGAGCCUUGUCGCCCAGGUCUUUGCCUUUCUGCAGGAGACGACACCUUCAGAGGUAACUUUGAAAGCCCUCUUGACAACUACAUUAAGUGUAGCAUCGCUGUGUGACAUGCAAAGCAUUAGACACCAUCACACUUGCAAAAGCCAGUACCCAGACAUACGUCAUCCACUUGCUCAGGCACUGUGGCAUCUUCGGAAAAGGCUUUUUCGGGAGUGACACGUGUGUUUCACACGAACUACGAAAGCAGUGCUUUCACUGGAAGACAACUUGUUUAAUCUGGCAUCAUCCGAAGCAUUUGCCAAACUGAGAGAUUUAACUUUGAUCCAUGACCAAGAUAGCAAUUGUUGUCAUUUUUUUUUUUUUUCUCUUUAAGGUGGCACCCACAGCAUUUGGAAGUUCAGGUCCAGUGACUGAAUCUGAGCCGCAGCUAUAACCGACACCACUGCUGGGGCAACGCCACAUCCUUGAACUCAUUGUGUCCAGCCAGAGCUCAAACCCGCACCUCCACUGCAACACGAGCCACUGAAGUGAGGUUCCUAACCCACCGUACCACAGUGGGAACUCCUGAAAUAACAUGACUUCAUUUUAUUAGAUAUGUCUUCUGAGUCAGAAACUCCAUGCCUGGCAUUUGUCCUCUUCUUUUUACUAUCUGUUGUGGUUUCCUUAACAUUUACAUGACUCUCUGUAAAUUCACUUUUCAGGAGAACUUCAGGAUGAAAACGCCAGUCUUCGGAAAACAAAUGGUAACAUUUCUGAUAUCCCAUCACCCCAGUGCUCUUGAGCCCCUCUGAAGCGACUGGUUCAGCCUUUCCUCUUGUCUGCCGUUUCAUCUGUUUCGCUUGUGUCGGCAUGCCUUUCUCUUGCACGUCCUGUCUACGAGCUCCACCUCAAUGUUUUGCGUGGGACUUGUCCCACGUUCCUUCUGUCCAUUUCUGUUUGCCUACCUCCUCUGCUCUGCCAUUCCUGCUCUUUGCAAUGCAUGCCAUGCCCUCCCGCUAAGGACUGGCUUUGCUUCGGUCUUUCAGGCACUUGCCACAGUUUCAUGAAGUUGGUGAGAUGCAAAGCAUUACGCAGAUAGGGAGAUGGUUUCUCUUCCACGUGUGUUUCUCAACAACAUCCAAACACAGGGGCUCUGUCGGGACUUCCAAGUCAGAGGGGCCAUUCCUGCACAAGGGAUAGCUCUUCAAAGACUUAAGAGAUGGGAGAUGGCCCCAAAACGGCUCAGUUAAUGCCCUCUGCCCACUGCCCUUUCAAAGCCUAAGUAGUAUAUGCUAUCAUCCAUCGGUCAAGAGUGUGCCAGGGCGCCCCUCUUCCACUGGCCUUACCCCUGGGAACCAAGUAUUCCCAGGUAUGAACAUGUUACUUCAGUUUGCCUGCUGUUCUAAACAAAAGCCAGGCCUACCGGUUGUGUCAUUUUGUGUGUCUCAGAGUUCUGAAAUGUCAGUUCUCCCUGACAUAGGCUGUUGAAAAUUUAGAGCAAUCUUCAGUUGCACGUGUAACACAUCUUUUCGGUUCCUUUUGGGUUACUCGCUUUUAGAAUGAUUAGCUUUCCUCCCCCGAAGUUAGGUGAGAUGGCAUUAUUAGCCUUUUUUGUUUUGUAAGGGCCACACCCACCGGCACAGGGACAUUCCCAGGCUAGGGGCUGAAUGGGAGCUGUAGCCGCCGGCCUACACCACAGAAGCAGCAAGGCCGGUACCAGCCACCCCUGCGAACCACACACCACAGCCCAUGGCCACGCCAGAGCCUUAACCUCCUGAGCGAGGGCCGGGAUGGAACCUGUGUCCUCCUGGAUACUCGUCCGAUUCACUUCCACUGAGCCAUGACGGGAACUCCCAGGAAAGCCUCGAGUCACAUCAAAGAAAAGAGAGAGAACAAGAGCAUGGCUUUCUGGCACCUUGCUCAUUCAAUCAUGCCAUUCGUUUCCCUCCACCAACGCAUUUUUGAAAACUGCAUUUCCCCGAAAUGCACGAGUCAGUCUCAACAUCGAUUUGAUUCCAUUUCUCUGCGCUUCGAGUAGAAAAAUGAUCUGUCGCUGAGAACGUCCUUACGACCAUGUCAGCUGACAAGAAUGGAAAGCGUAGGAUUAGAGCCUUGUCGCCCAGGUCUUUGCCUUUCUGCAGGAGACGACACCUUCAGAGGUAACUUUGAAAGCCCUCUUGACAACUACAUUAAGUGUAGCAUCGCUGUGUGACAUGCAAAGCAUUAGACACCAUCACACUUGCAAAAGCCAGUACCCAGACAUACGUCAUCCACUUGCUCAGGCACUGUGGCAUCUUCGGAAAAGGCUUUUUCGGGAGUGACACGUGUGUUUCACACGAACUACGAAAGCAGUGCUUUCACUGGAAGACAACUUGUUUAAUCUGGCAUCAUCCGAAGCAUUUGCCAAACUGAGAGAUUUAACUUUGAUCCAUGACCAAGAUAGCAAUUGUUGUCAUUUUUUUUUUUUUUCUCUUUAAGGUGGCACCCACAGCAUUUGGAAGUUCAGGUCCAGUGACUGAAUCUGAGCCGCAGCUAUAACCGACACCACUGCUGGGGCAACGCCACAUCCUUGAACUCAUUGUGUCCAGCCAGAGCUCAAACCCGCACCUCCACUGCAACACGAGCCACUGAAGUGAGGUUCCUAACCCACCGUACCACAGUGGGAACUCCUGAAAUAACAUGACUUCAUUUUAUUAGAUAUGUCUUCUGAGUCAGAAACUCCAUGCCUGGCAUUUGUCCUCUUCUUUUUACUAUCUGUUGUGGUUUCCUUAACAUUUACAUGACUCUUGUAAAUUCACUUUUCAGGAGAACUUCAGGAUGAAAACGGUAACUUAUUUCUGAAUUUUUCUUUUCUUUUUUUUUUCUGCUUUGGAGGGGUGGAUAUAUUUCCUAGGAAUAGUUAUUCUCUCUUGACUUUCCUUCCUUUGCUAUUGCUUCAAGUCACUGUCUUCCAGGCACUUACCACCCUCUCAUUACGAGGUUUGUUAAAUGAAGAGAAUCAGGCUGAGAAGAAUGCUCUUUGCUCCAUUCCACAGGAAGCUUUCUUUUCCUGGGCCCUCCACCACGACAUCUAGAUGCAGUGCUCGCUGUGUUGUAUUUGACAUUGUCCCGGUUGUUACUGGAAUGGUUCCGAUUCCAACCCUGGUUGCAGGGAUGAGUUUCUCCUUUGAUUGCUCACACUCUGUCGACUGCCGAUGCCCUGCAGAAGUUAUCCUAAGACAGGCCAGUUCACGUCUGCCGAUCACACUCUCAAGGGACCCAGUGUAUAUGGAUAUCGUUGCCUGACUUGUCCUGGUUAUGUUCAGUUUACAACCACAGUUCUUACUCUUCAUUCAUUUUUAUUUUACCUAUUUCUUUAUUAUCUCACCAAGUUGACCGCCCUCUGGCAUCUUUGUGUGCACUUUUUCCCCUCAAGAAAUCACACUGAUCAUACAUAGCUGAAGUCCAAAGUUGUGUUCUGAGAUGAUGCCACACCUCUCUGUAAUACCCUAACACAAGAAAUAUUUUCAAUCUUCAUAAGCCUGUAUGUGACAAAGUAUUCUGGAAAGGGUGGUGGUGCUCUCAAUGGAACAGAGUUUAGGGAUCUGCCUCUUUAACUCAGGAGUGGACGUGACUUGAAAACGCUCCAGAAGCACUCAUUCGGAGAUGCGGCGCUCUGGUCACGCCUUCUUCAUAAAGUUCAGAAAACCUGUCUCAUACAUGCACGUUCAGAUAUUUCCUCUCAGAUGGGAGGGAGGAUGCACAGUAAGCAUGGGGUGAGAAACAGUUUCUCUCAGGGAAACUUUCUCUCUCCUGGAUUCAGCACCCAUGUGCUUUGGUUCAGAAAAGCUGCACUUCUGCAUGAAGUAAAACACACACUCAAAUACAACAAGGUUGCCAUUUAAUCAGUAGCAACAAGGUUGCCCAUUUAAUCAGUAGCAGUCUCGUUGUGAAAAGAGGCACCCGGAAACCUGACCGUGGAUCCCCUACCCCAACAGGGUCUCGGUAUAACCUCACACAGGGUUUGUGGCAACUUGACACAAGGUAGCGCCCCCGACCACCAGCAUGAGAACGGACUUCCACAUGCACAGCCAGCCCAUGGCCAUGCUAAAGCGCACAAGCAGAACAACAGGACCCUAAAUAUGGUCAAAGGGAUCAAGACUGCUUUUGCGAACUAAACCCCAGAACGAAUCGUUCUCGUUUUCUUCAGCUCAUCGAAAUUAACUCCAUUUCCCCUCUGUUCCUUUACUGUAGACGAUCUCGGAACACUGCAGUCCUCUGAGCCGAUGUGUGUGCGGGUGGCUGUGGGGGUGGCUGUGGUUGUCCCUUGAAACCGCAGAGGGUUCAUUUUAAAUAGGAAGUUUCAAUAGAUCUGAAUUCUCCCUCUA